This 253-nucleotide ribosomal RNA is filed under the name uncultured bacterium. Its description in RNAcentral is "partial 16S ribosomal RNA". It matches the Rfam family "Bacterial small subunit ribosomal RNA", at positions 524 to 776 of the family's 1533-position model. The record is from RNAcentral.
UACGGAGGGUGCAAGCGUUAUCCGGAUUCACUGGGUUUAAAGGGAGCGUAGGUGGGCUUGUAAGUCAGUGGUGAAAUCUCCGUGCUUAACACGGAAACUGCCAUUGAUACUAUAGGUCUUGAAUUUUCUGGAGGUUAGCGGAAUAUGUCAUGUAGCGGUGAAAUGCUUAGAUAUGACAUAGAACACCAAUUGCGAAGGCAGCUCGCUACACGAAUAUUGACUCUGAGGCACGAAAGCGUGGGGAUCAAACAGG